Molecule: long non-coding RNA, 178 nt
Organism: Polyodon spathula (Mississippi paddlefish)
Lineage: Eukaryota; Metazoa; Chordata; Actinopteri; Acipenseriformes; Polyodontidae
Exons: 3
Source: RefSeq, a predicted model, not a curated record
GAAUUCCUUUACAGCGUCCGACAUAGCAGAUGAAGUCAACAGCUGCAUCCAAGUUGAAAUACACAGAAACAGGUAUAUAAUAUCUGUUGGUUGUGAUAGACGGAUCAGCAUUUUUGCUGAUCACCAGAAUGGUGCCAGUGGUAUUGAGAAUCUCGGAUCCCAGUGGCUACAUCAAGAG